This 908-nucleotide ribosomal RNA is filed under the name Salmonella enterica. RNAcentral describes it as "bacterial LSU rRNA". It matches the Rfam family "Bacterial large subunit ribosomal RNA", at positions 1271 to 2162 of the family's 2925-position model. The record is from RNAcentral. RNAcentral also lists the same sequence under 23 other names. Lineage: Bacteria; Pseudomonadati; Pseudomonadota; Gammaproteobacteria; Enterobacterales; Enterobacteriaceae.
UGCUGGAGGUAUCAGAAGUGCGAAUGCUGACAUAAGUAACGAUAAAGCGGGUGAAAAGCCCGCUCGCCGGAAGACCAAGGGUUCCUGUCCAACGUUAAUCGGGGCAGGGUGAGUCGACCCCUAAGGCGAGGCCGAAAGGCGUAGUCGAUGGGAAACGGGUUAAUAUUCCCGUACUUGGUGUUACUGCGAAGGGGGGACGGAGAAGGCUAUGUUGGCCGGGCGACGGUUGUCCCGGUUUAAGCGUGUAGGUGUGUGUUCCAGGUAAAUCCGGUUCACUUUAACACUGAGGCGUGACGACGAGGCACUACGGUGCUGAAGCAACAAAUGCCCUGCUUCCAGGAAAAGCCUCUAAGCAUCAGGUAACAUCAAAUCGUACCCCAAACCGACACAGGUGGUCAGGUAGAGAAUACCAAGGCGCUUGAGAGAACUCGGGUGAAGGAACUAGGCAAAAUGGUGCCGUAACUUCGGGAGAAGGCACGCUGACAUGUAGGUGAAGUGAUUUACUCAUGGAGCUGAAGUCAGUCGAAGAUACCAGCUGGCUGCAACUGUUUAUUAAAAACACAGCACUGUGCAAACACGAAAGUGGACGUAUACGGUGUGACGCCUGCCCGGUGCCGGAAGGUUAAUUGAUGGGGUCAGCGCAAGCGAAGCUCCUGAUCGAAGCCCCGGUAAACGGCGGCCGUAACUAUAACGGUCCUAAGGUAGCGAAAUUCCUUGUCGGGUAAGUUCCGACCUGCACGAAUGGCGUAAUGAUGGCCAGGCUGUCUCCACCCGAGACUCAGUGAAAUUGAACUCGCUGUGAAGAUGCAGUGUACCCGCGGCAAGACGGAAAGACCCCGUGAACCUUUACUAUAGCUUGACACUGAACAUUGAGCCUUGAUGUGUAGGAUAGGUGGGAGGCUUUGAAG